AGGUGCCUGCAGCUUCCUCAUGGCAAGACCUCGAGGGAAGUCCAGAGAGAAAAGGAUGUCAAAGUCCCGCUGUCCAGUGUCAUCGCAUUGAAAUCCUGCAGUGAUAAUUCUUGUUUCCCCAAAUUUUACAGAUAUGAUCUUGAUAGCCUUCAUGGAGGCGAAGUGAAGAAGACGGGAUU
This 179-nucleotide long non-coding RNA is filed under the name Amazona collaria (yellow-billed parrot). Its description in RNAcentral is "lncRNA (ENSACOG00000015421.1)". The record is from RNAcentral. Lineage: Eukaryota; Metazoa; Chordata; Aves; Psittaciformes; Psittacidae.